Non-coding RNA from Caenorhabditis elegans, 149 nucleotides. The record is from Ensembl. Lineage: Eukaryota; Metazoa; Nematoda; Chromadorea; Rhabditida; Rhabditidae.
UUUUAGCAUGAGAAGUAACACAUAACAAUUGAAAAAUGAAGGGGGUGGAAACGGAGGAGUGAGGUAUCUCAAGGCUGUUCCGUUCUUUUAUUCUUUUUUAUUUCAAAAACUAAGAGAAAAGAAUGAGAAGGAGGUAAAACUUUUUCACG